This 435-nucleotide ribosomal RNA is filed under the name uncultured prokaryote. Its description in RNAcentral is "partial 16S ribosomal RNA". The record is from RNAcentral.
CCCUAUGGGGUGCAGCAGGCGGAGUUACGCAAAGAGUCUCUUGAUCCGGCAAACUGGUUUGUAACGCCGGACAAUCGGGAACUGACCAUGAUGCUGCUUUGUCCGAAUGCGACAGAUGCUUUUGCCCGCAUGAUAAGCUCGCAGAUCGGUUUUUCCCGCAUUUCGCCGUAUCAGACCAGAAGCGGCGUGAACAAGGAAGGCGUGUUUUUCGGGCGCACUCAGAUUUUGGCACACAUCAUGCAGCGCGAACCUGCCAAUUAUCUGAUUAUCGGGGGACGGCAGAUCGGAAAAUCCAGUCUGCUGAAAGCAAUCCGGCGCAGGUAUCUGAAUGACCCGGAGGUCGAGUGUCAUUAUCUUGUUCUGUUCGGCGAGGACAUCCGCGAGCAUCUUGCAAAGGAAAUGAAUCUUGGGCUUGAUACGGAUUGGCGGGAGAGC